AAACCAGGAUUAGAUACCCUGUUACACUUUUUCAAAAUUUGGUAAUUACCAGGGUACUAAAAAGUUAUUCUCUCGAAACUCAAAGAAUUUGGCGGUAGCUUAGUCUAGUUAGAGGAACCUGUCCUGUAAUCGAUACUACACGAAAAAUCUUGCUUUAUUUUGUAUAUUCAGUUUGUAUACCGUUAUUAUUAGAUAACUUCUCUAGAAUUAAAGUUAUUAAAAUAGUGUUUGCUAAUAUAUUAGAUCAAGGUGCAGCUAAUAAUAAAGAAGAGAUGGGUUACAAUAAAUUUUUGUUUAGACGAACCUAGAAAUGAAUAUAUCUAGUGAAGGAGGAUUUAAAAGUAAUAAAAUUUUAAUAUGAUUUUUUGAUUGUAGCUCUAAGCUAUGUACAUAUCCCCGUCGCAAA
This 406-nucleotide ribosomal RNA is filed under the name Sicyonia ingentis (ridgeback rock shrimp). Its description in RNAcentral is "partial 12S ribosomal RNA". The record is from RNAcentral. Lineage: Eukaryota; Metazoa; Arthropoda; Malacostraca; Decapoda; Sicyoniidae.